UACGUAGGGGGCAAGCGUUGUCCGGAAUCAUUGGGCGUAAAGCGCGUGUAGGCGGCUUGGUAAGUCCGCUGUGAAAGUCGGGGGCUCAACCCUCGAAUGCCGGUGGAUACUGUCGGGCUAGAGUGCGGAAGAGGCGAGUGGAAUUCCUGGUGUAGCGGUGAAAUGCGCAGAUAUCAGGAGGAACAUCAAUUGCGAAGGCAGCUCGCUGGGACGUAACUGACGCUGAGACGCGAAAGCGUGGGGAGCAAACAGG
This 253-nucleotide ribosomal RNA is filed under the name uncultured bacterium. RNAcentral describes it as "partial 16S ribosomal RNA". It matches the Rfam family "Bacterial small subunit ribosomal RNA", at positions 524 to 776 of the family's 1533-position model. The record is from RNAcentral.